Molecule: long non-coding RNA, 1452 nt
Filed under: Anas platyrhynchos platyrhynchos (common mallard)
Lineage: Eukaryota; Metazoa; Chordata; Aves; Anseriformes; Anatidae
Description: lncRNA (ENSAPLG00000023485.1)
Source: RNAcentral
AAUAUAAAGCUCUAAGCAAGGCAUCUAAUUCCUCUUCUCGACAGUGUGGUAAAUCAGCUGGUUUUGGAUGUAGGCCAAAGAGUGAGCAGCACGACCACCCGGGGGCUGUGCAUUACCCCUCUGCUGUGCUUGCGCUGCAGGUUUGCACUCGGAGAGGCCAGCCAGUGCACAAGAACAUCAAGGAUCUCUCUGAUUUUGCAACCUUCCUCACGUGGGGUAAGCACCAGGCUUUGAAGUGCCUGGGGCACAGUCUUGUUUCCACCAAGUCUUUCUAUUGCUAGUCAGUACACACAGGGCCUGGCUUUGAAAAGAUUGGGAAGGAAUAAGCAAAGGUGAAUCUCUUGAGCUUUAAGAGCAAAGCAGUCUGAGAAGGUUUCUCCAGCUCCCAAAAGCUAAAGGAGGUAUGAGGUGUGAAUAGCACAGUUCUUUCUCCCCUUCGUGCUGGUCAUACUCUGCUACCCCCUAAUCUCGAUGCAGGACUUUUAUGAUUCCCAUACAACCAUCUCAUAUCAAAGCCAAGUGGAUAAAACCCCCUCUACAUCAACAUCCCAAGGAAACAUUCAGGCUAGAGUCCAACAAUACAAACGCCAGCCAGCAAGCUGCUGUUUUCUUAUUAACACUUGUUAUCAGCGGGCUGAGCAUGCUUGGGGAGCAGAGCACAGUGACAGUGCCUUGUCACACUGGCAAGACAGGAUCAUGUUCAGGACUGCGUAAGGUGAAGAGCACACAAGGAAAACUGGCUUGGAUUUUUAGAGAUGUUAAGGCUGCCUUAGUUUGCUCUUCUGAAGGCUGGCUUAUACUGUUCACUUCCACUAUACUAGAAGGAAGCCCGAGUGGAGUGUCUUGUAAACAUCUCCCUGCUCCCCACACAGCGGACUUUUUCUAACCAGCUAAAAUUAGUUUCUUCCUAGGUAAGCUGGUGGCCCCAUUCACUUGGCCUAAAGCAAUGUUUUUCACAAUGUUUAACACACGAUUAGCAAGAUUAACCUGGCAGAGGUUAAAAAUUCCUCUCAGGAGACACACAGGAUGGUGCUUUUCUGUUGUAGUUGGCCUGGGAGGCAGCUAGGCUGGGCCAAGCUGUCAGUGGUAACAGCUUGUGCCCUCCAAGUUCCACCUGCAUUGCUGAAUCCUCACUGGUUUCUCCUGCCUGAUUGUGCUCAAGGCUUUUUGCAUGGCUCUUUGUGCUGAGAUGUGAGAGCUUUUUGUGGCCAAUUGUAGGACAAUUUGUGUUUCUCUCAGGACAAACUAUGAAAAGCCUUUGGAAGGCUACCAGGAUGGGAGCAAUUUGGACUGCUGAGAGGAAGCAGUGGAUAGCAUCUAAGCUUUACUCACACCCGUGAUAAAAAUAUGUCCGGACUUGGGUGUAGAGCUGUCUGUGUAGAUGAUGGGGACAUCUCACGCUAAAUCCUGGGUCAGAAGGAGUCCAGGCUGUGUGCAUGCUUUCAUUGCACA